CUUGGUCAUUUAGAGGAAGUAAAAGUCGUAACAAGGUCUCCGUUGGUGAACCAGCGGAGGGAUCAUUACCGAGUUUACAACUCCCAAACCCAAUGUGAACCAUACCAAACUGUUGCCUCGGCGGGGUCACGCCCCGGGUGCGUCGCAGCCCCGGAACCAGGCGCCCGCCGGAGGGACCAACCAAACUCUUUCUGUAGUCCCCUCGCGGACGUUAUUUCUUACAGCUCUGAGCAAAAAUUCAAAAUGAAUCAAAACUUUCAACAACGGAUCUCUUGGUUCUGGCAUCGAUGAAGAACGCAGCGAAAUGCGAUAAGUAAUGUGAAUUGCAGAAUUCAGUGAAUCAUCGAAUCUUUGAACGCACAUUGCGCCCGCCAGUAUUCUGGCGGGCAUGCCUGUCCGAGCGUCAUUUCAACCCUCGAACCCCUCCGGGGGGUCGGCGUUGGGGAUCGGGAACCCCUAAGACGGGAUCCCGGCCCCGAAAUACAGUGGCGGUCUCGCCGCAGCCUCUCCUGCGCAGUAGUUUGCACAACUCGCACCGGGAGCGCGGCGCGUCCACGUCCGUAAAACACCCAACUUCUGAAAUGUUGACCUCGGAUCAGGUAGGAAUACCCGCUGAACUUAAGCAUAUCAAUAAGCGGAGG
RNAcentral lists this ribosomal RNA (641 nucleotides) under uncultured Trichoderma. RNAcentral's name for it is "eukaryotic LSU rRNA". The stretch from base 253 to 406 matches the Rfam family "5.8S ribosomal RNA". Lineage: Eukaryota; Fungi; Ascomycota; Sordariomycetes; Hypocreales; Hypocreaceae. The record is from RNAcentral.